GCCGCGAUGGUGGAAUUGGCAGACACGCACGACUCAAAAUCGUGUCCCGUUUUCGGGGUGAGGGUUCAACUCCCUCUCGCGGCACCA
This 87-nucleotide transfer RNA is filed under the name Candidatus Moraniibacteriota bacterium. RNAcentral's name for it is "Candidatus Moranbacteria bacterium tRNA-Leu". It matches the Rfam family "tRNA". Rfam says of the family: Transfer RNA (tRNA) molecules are approximately 80 nucleotides in length. Lineage: Bacteria; Candidatus Moraniibacteriota. The record is from RNAcentral.